Non-coding RNA from Myotis lucifugus (little brown bat), 72 nucleotides. NCBI's taxonomy places the organism in Eukaryota, Metazoa, Chordata, Mammalia, Chiroptera, Vespertilionidae. The record is from Rfam.
GCCGGUUUGGCUCAGUGGAUAGAGCAUCAGCCUGCAGACUGAAGGGUCCCGGUUCAAUUCCGGUCAAGGGCA